This 637-nucleotide ribosomal RNA is filed under the name uncultured fungus. RNAcentral describes it as "eukaryotic LSU rRNA". The stretch from base 227 to 380 matches the Rfam family "5.8S ribosomal RNA". The record is from RNAcentral. Lineage: Eukaryota; Fungi.
UCCGUAGGUGAACCUGCGGAAGGAUCAUUACACUCAGUAGAUUUCUACUGUUAAGGAGAGCGGAACGCUUCCUGAGUCGCUUCCGGCGGCUUGGAUGCAGCAAGUACGUGCCUUAAACCCUUGUCUUUUUGCGUACCCAUGUUUCCUCGGCGGGCUUGCCCGCCGGCUGGACACUUUAAAACCCUUUUUAAUUUUCAAUCAGCGUCUGAAUAAUUAUAAUAAUUACAACUUUCAACAACGGAUCUCUUGGUUCUGGCAUCGAUGAAGAACGCAGCGAAAUGCGAUAAGUAGUGUGAAUUGCAGAAUUCAGUGAAUCAUCGAAUCUUUGAACGCACAUUGCGCCCCUUGGUAUUCCAUGGGGCAUGCUUGUUCGAGCGUCAUUUGUACUCUCAAGCUUUGCUUGGUGUUGGGUGCUUGUCCUUCCCCUGCGGUUGGACUCACCUUAAAUUCAUUGGCAGCCGAUAUAUUGGUCUUGAAGCGCAGCACAAUUUGCGAAUCAAGCCGAUACUAUUAGCGUCCAUCAAGACUAUUUAACACUUUUGACCUCGGAUCAAGUAGGGAUACCCGCUGAACUUAAGCAUAUCAAUAAGCGGAGGGAAGUCGGACUGGCCAAGGGGCACACCAGGGGGGGGGGAUA